AGAACGAACGCUGGCGGCAUGCCUAACACAUGCAAGUCGAACGCUCUUGGGGCUUCGGUUCCAAGGGAGUGGCGCACGGGUGAGUAGCGCGUGGGAACCUGCCCUGGAGUGGGGGAUAACCGAGGGAAACUUCGGCUAAUACCGCAUACGCCGGGAAACCGGGAAAGAUUUAUCGCUCUAGGAGGGGCCCGCGUCGGAUUAGGUAGUUGGUGGGGUAACGGCUUACCAAGCCUGUGAUCCGUAGCUGGUCUGAGAGGAUGAUCAGCCACACUGGGACUGAGACACGGCCCAGACUCCUACGGGAGGCAGCAGUGGGGAAUAUUGGACAAUGGGCGCAAGCCUGAUCCAGCAAUGCCGCGUGAGUGAUGAAGGCCUUCGGGUUGUAAAGCUCUUCCGCACGCGAGGAUGAUGACGCUAGCGUGAGAAGAAGCCCCGACUAACUUCGUGCCAGCAGCCGC
This 458-nucleotide ribosomal RNA is filed under the name uncultured bacterium. RNAcentral describes it as "SSU rRNA". It matches the Rfam family "Bacterial small subunit ribosomal RNA", at positions 26 to 518 of the family's 1533-position model. The record is from RNAcentral.